UUUCGCGAUACAUUGUAAACGUAAAAUGUCAUUGUAAAUGUAAAAAAAUAUAUUGUAAAAUAUUUUGUGAUAUUAAAACGGAGUGGGAUGAUAAAGAUAACCGAAUCGCUGUGAUUGGGUUAUACAAACAAGAGUUAGCGCUGGGUCAUAAAGCUCGAUCCACCCAAUCUUGGUUAGAAACCAAUGUUCCAGACCUCAUCAGAGCUGAAGAUUGGCCAUCAUCUAGUCCCGAUCUUAAUUUAUGGUCAGUUUUAGAGAGUAUGGCUUGCUCUAAAUGUCAUGAUAAUUUGGAGUCCUUAAAACAAUCCAUUCGAUUGGCAGUGAAGAAUUUUCCCAUGGAAAGAGCGCGUGCUUCUAUUGAUAACUGGCCUCAACGAUAAAAGGACUGUAUUGCAGCCAAUGGAGACGACUUCGAAUAAUCUUUAUAUAUUUUUAAUUUAACUAACACAGUGUAAUAGUAAUAAAUGUUACGUACAAUAUAAAAAAUGUUUUUUCUUUGUAACACAUAAUAAUAUUCAGGGCAAGACUAUGUGAUAGGAAUGAGAAAAAUAAAUGAAAUAGAGGAUUAUA
Long non-coding RNA from Melitaea cinxia (Glanville fritillary), 570 nucleotides. RefSeq lists it as uncharacterized. Lineage: Eukaryota; Metazoa; Arthropoda; Insecta; Lepidoptera; Nymphalidae. The record is from RefSeq and is a predicted model, not a curated record. The transcript is spliced from 2 exons.